Molecule: ribosomal RNA, 466 nt
Filed under: uncultured bacterium
Lineage: Bacteria
Description: partial 16S ribosomal RNA
Rfam family: Bacterial small subunit ribosomal RNA
Source: RNAcentral
GACGAACGCUGGCGGCGUGCUUAACACAUGCAAGUCGAACGGAAAGGCCCUGCUUUUGUGGGGUGCUCGAGUGGCGAACGGGUGAGUAACACGUGAGUAACCUGCCCUUGACUUUGGGAUAACUUCAGGAAACUGGGGCUAAUACCGGAUAGGAGCUCCUGCUGCAUGGUGGGGGUUGGAAAGUUUCGGCGGUUGGGGAUGGACUCGCGGCUUAUCAGCUUGUUGGUGGGGUAGUGGCUUACCAAGGCUUUGACGGGUAGCCGGCCUGAGAGGGUGACCGGCCACAGUGGGACUGAGAUACGGCCCAGCCUCCUCCGGGAGGCAGCAGUGGGGAAUAUUGCACAAUGGGCGGAAGCCUGAUGCAGCAACGCCGCGUGCGGGAUGACGGCUUUCGGGUUGUAACCCGCUUUCGCCUGUGACGAAGCGUGAGUGACGGUAAUGGGUAAAGAAGCACCGGCUAACUACG